Non-coding RNA from Myotis lucifugus (little brown bat), 76 nucleotides. The record is from Rfam. NCBI's taxonomy places the organism in Eukaryota, Metazoa, Chordata, Mammalia, Chiroptera, Vespertilionidae.
GGCGGUUCUCGGGUGGCACACCCCAGAAUCAGGCUCCCUCCUCUCUGGUUCUGGGGUGCGUCACCCAAGAACUGCU